This 250-nucleotide ribosomal RNA is filed under the name uncultured bacterium. RNAcentral describes it as "partial 16S ribosomal RNA". It matches the Rfam family "Bacterial small subunit ribosomal RNA", at positions 524 to 773 of the family's 1533-position model. The record is from RNAcentral.
UACGGAGGGUGCAAGCGUUACUCGGAAUCACUGGGCGUAAAGGAUGCGUAGGCGGAUAAUCAAGUCAAAAGUGAAAUCCCACGGCUUAACCGUGGAACUGCUUUCGAAACUGGUUAUCUAGAAUAUGGAAGAGGCAGAUGGAAUUAGUGGUGUAGGGGUAAAAUCCGUAGAGAUCACUAGGAAUACCGAUUGCGAAGGCGAUCUGCUGGGACAUUAUUGACGCUGAGGCAUGAAAGCGUGGGGAGCAAAC